This 433-nucleotide ribosomal RNA is filed under the name uncultured bacterium. Its description in RNAcentral is "partial 16S ribosomal RNA". It matches the Rfam family "Bacterial small subunit ribosomal RNA", at positions 29 to 507 of the family's 1533-position model. The record is from RNAcentral.
AGCGAACGCUGGCGGCAGGCCUAACACAUGCAAGUCGAACGAACUCUUCGGAGUUAGUGGCGGACGGGUGAGUAACACGUGGGAACGUGCCUUUAGGUUCGGAAUAACUCAGGGAAACUUGUGCUAAUACCGAAUGUGCCCUUCGGGGGAAAGAUUUAUCGCCUUUAGAGCGGCCCGCGUCUGAUUAGCUAGUUGGCGAGGUAAAGGCUCACCAAGGCGACGAUCAGUAGCUGGUCUGAGAGGAUGAUCAGCCACAUUGGGACUGAGACACGGCCCAAACUCCUACGGGAGGCAGCAGUGGGGAAUCUUGCGCAAUGGGCGAAAGCCUGACGCAGCCAUGCCGCGUGAAUGAUGAAGGUCUUAGGAUUGUAAAAUUCUUUCACCGGGGACGAUAAUGACGGUACCCGGAGAAGAAGCCCCGGCUAACUUCGUG